UACAGAGGUCCCGAGCGUUGUUCGGAUUCACUGGGCGUAAAGGGUGCGUAGGUGGCUGGGAAAGUUUGAUGUGAAAGCUCAGGGCUUAACCCUGAAAUGGCAUUGAAUACUACUUGGCUGGAGGUUUGGAGGGGGGACUGGAAUUCUUGGUGUAGCAGUGAAAUGCGUAGAUAUCAAGAGGAACACCAGUGGCGAAGGCGAGUCCCUGGACAACACCUGACACUGAGGCACGAAAGCCGGGGGAGCAAACAGG
This 253-nucleotide ribosomal RNA is filed under the name uncultured bacterium. RNAcentral's name for it is "partial 16S ribosomal RNA". It matches the Rfam family "Bacterial small subunit ribosomal RNA", at positions 524 to 776 of the family's 1533-position model. The record is from RNAcentral.